This 212-nucleotide ribosomal RNA is filed under the name uncultured bacterium. RNAcentral describes it as "partial 16S ribosomal RNA". It matches the Rfam family "Bacterial small subunit ribosomal RNA", at positions 1289 to 1500 of the family's 1533-position model. The record is from RNAcentral.
CAGUUCGGAUUGUAGGCUGAAACUCGCCUACAUGAAGCUGGAGUUGCUAGUAAUCGCGGAUCAGCAUGCCGCGGUGAAUACGUUCCCGGGCCUUGUACACACCGCCCGUCACACCAUGAGAGUCGGGAACACCCGAAGUCCGUAGCCUAACCGCGAAGGGGGGCGCGGCGAAGGUGGGUUCGAUAAUUGGGGUGAAGUCGUAACAAGGUAGC